RNAcentral lists this ribosomal RNA (159 nucleotides) under Acinetobacter baumannii. Its description in RNAcentral is "partial 23S ribosomal RNA". The stretch from base 1 to 141 matches the Rfam family "Bacterial large subunit ribosomal RNA", at positions 2790 to 2925 of the family's 2925-position model. Lineage: Bacteria; Pseudomonadati; Pseudomonadota; Gammaproteobacteria; Moraxellales; Moraxellaceae. The record is from RNAcentral.
AAGCCUACCUCAAGAUAAGAUUUCCCUAGGACUUUAUGUCCUCUAAAGAGCCGUUCGAGACUAGGACGUUGAUAGGUUGGAUGUGGAAGCAUAGUGAUAUGUGAAGCUGACCAAUACUAAUUGCUCGUGAGGCUUGACUAUACAACACCCAAGCAGUUG